ACGGAGGGUGCAAACGUUGCUCGGAAUCAUUGGGCGUAAAGCGAACGUAGGCGGCUAUGUAAGUCGGGUGUGAAAGCCCUCGGCUCAACCCAGGAAGUGCAUUCGAAACUGCAUGGCUUGAGUAUCGGAGAGGAUAGCGGAAUUCCCGGUGUAGAGGUGAAAUUCGUAGAUAUCGGGAGGAACACCAGUGGCGAAGGCGGCUAUCUGGACGAAUACUGACGCUGAAGUUCGAAAGCGUGGGGAGCAAACAGGA
This 253-nucleotide ribosomal RNA is filed under the name uncultured prokaryote. Its description in RNAcentral is "partial 16S ribosomal RNA". It matches the Rfam family "Bacterial small subunit ribosomal RNA", at positions 525 to 777 of the family's 1533-position model. The record is from RNAcentral.